RNAcentral lists this ribosomal RNA (478 nucleotides) under uncultured bacterium. RNAcentral describes it as "bacterial SSU rRNA". It matches the Rfam family "Bacterial small subunit ribosomal RNA", at positions 32 to 521 of the family's 1533-position model. The record is from RNAcentral.
AAUCAACGCUGGCGGCGUGCCUCAGACAUGCAAGUCGAACGAUUAAGACUCCCUUCGGGGAGUGCAUAAAGUGGCGCACGGGUGAGUAACACGUAAGUAAUCUACCCUCGGGUGGGGAAUAACGUCCGGAAACGGACGCUAAUACCGCAUAAUGCAGCGGCACCGCAAGGUGACAGUUGUUAAAGAUUUAUUGCCUGGGGAGGAGCUUGCGGCAGAUUAGCUUGUUGGUAAGGAACGGCUUACCAAGGCUACGAUCUGUAUCCGGUCUAAGAGGACGGUCGGACACACUGACACUGAAUAACGGGUCAGACUCCUACGGGAGGCAGCAGUCGGGAAUUUUGGGCAAUGGGGGGAAACCCUGACCCAGCAACGCCGCGUGAAGGAUGAAGUAUUUCGGUAUGUAAACUUCGAAAGAAUAGGAAGAAUUAAUGACGUACUAUUUAUAAGGUCCGGCUAACUACGUGCCAGCCGCCGCGGU